AUGGUGAAAAAAAAUGCAACUGUUCAAAAUAUCUCGCUCGCCCUACACCAGCCAUGGCGCCGAGCUCGUCUCCCUAGAUUCUUCUUUACGGGAUCUCGAGGGUACCUACCAUCAAUGGCGGCAACCAGAUUAUGCCAUAGGAAGGUGUUUCCAUCAGGCCUUCAACAGAAAAUCAGCCCCACAGUAGGCAAAGUGGUUUCGAUGGAGAUGGCAGCAAAUCUGAGGUGGGUCCAGUCGUCAACAAGAGGUACUCUUCCGAGCUUGCGUGAUUAUCCCGCUGCAGAAUUUAUGUAUUUUUUCUCGAUCUUUGAAGUAAUUGUAGUCGAUUUAGAGUCCAGUAGGCAAGUGGUCGAUGGAGCAAGAUGACAUCUCUGAGCUGUUACCCCUUCAUCGUGCCUUCCUUUUUCAACUUCAAAGCUGGAACCCAAGUGAUGCGUGAUUAACCAGUUUGAUUUACUGUCCAAGAUUAACCAGGAACUCCCUAUAGAUAGGGUCAUGCAAGCAAGUAGUAGGGUGUUUGAGUUAUGAAUCCGUUCUUGCGGAAGGUAAUGGUAGCAGUGGGAAUAUGGUGUUGGUUUCUAGUAACGAAGAUGACUAUUGCAGUAGGCAAAACUGGAGAUUGAACCACUGACUAUGGGCUGAAAGUUUCAACUCCCAAGCAGUUUGAUAGAACUAUGAUGAAAGAACCACAAUUUUGGUAAGUUUUCAAUUAAUUACUCAAAUAUGUUGUCUUACAAUUCCCCCGUAGUUUCUAAAAUUGUUUGUUGUGGCCAAGCACUGUAACUGGUGGUGAAAUUGCAAUUUGAAGUUUCAUCAGCAAUAGCAGUACACUGGGCAGAAGCUAUGCAAGGUUGCAGUUUGAGAAUGAAUGUACUGACUGUAUAAUCUUGAAUCCAGAAGGCUGAGCACAACCAUGGUCAAAAGGAAAUGGAUUGGGGACAAAGAAUUGAGCUAAAUAUGGCAAUGCAAUGCAAGAAUUCCAGUUCCAGGUAAUGGCAUGGGAACCAAUCGGAUGGAGAAACUUUUUUUUUUAGAACAAUCGGAUGGAGAAACUGGUGGGAACAUGUUUGGCUGUGCAGGUUCUAGUGCUAGAUUGAAUGACUCUGAACUUUUGAUACUCAUGCCUCCAUAUGCGUGGUCGAUUAAGAAUGAACCCAUAAAAGUCGCAGCUUGACAUAAUCAAGGAGAAGAUGAAAAAGGCUAGGAAGAAGGCCAGGACGGAAUGAAGCAAAAGAAUAGAGUCAAGAGGAGUUACACUACUUGUGCCUUGAUGACCAUAAGGCAUCAGAGUCCCUAACUAAAAGUUGUUGGUAUUUCUUAGUAAAACUCAGCACUUGUAGCUGAUGAUAAUUAGCUGUUUCUUGUAUGCUGGAUUCUUGUUUCCUCUAAUUGGCUUAGAUUUAGUCUGGCACCAAGUCAUGACAGUUACCGCUGGGUAAUGCAAGUCACCUGAAGGA
This is a long non-coding RNA of Panicum virgatum (switchgrass), 1457 nucleotides long. RefSeq lists it as uncharacterized. The record is from RefSeq and is a predicted model, not a curated record. NCBI's taxonomy places the organism in Eukaryota, Viridiplantae, Streptophyta, Magnoliopsida, Poales, Poaceae. The transcript is spliced from 3 exons.